Molecule: ribosomal RNA, 645 nt
Filed under: Fusarium ensiforme
Lineage: Eukaryota; Fungi; Ascomycota; Sordariomycetes; Hypocreales; Nectriaceae
Description: partial large subunit ribosomal RNA
Rfam family: Eukaryotic large subunit ribosomal RNA
Source: RNAcentral
AUNCUGCUCUAAAUGGGAGGUAUAUGUCUUCUAAAGCUAAAUACCGGCCAGAGACCGAUAGCGCACAAGUAGAGUGAUCGAAAGAUGAAAAGAACUUUGAAAAGAGAGUUAAACAGUACGUGAAAUUGUUGAAAGGGAAGCGCUUGUGACCAGACUUGGGCAUGGUUGAUCAUCCGGGGUUCUCCCCGGUGCACUCUNCCGGCCCAGGCCAGCAUCAGUUCGCCCUGGGGGACAAAGGCAUCGGGAACGUCGCUCUCUCCGGGGAGUGUUAUAGCCCGUUGCGUAAUACCCUGCGGCGGACUGACGUUCGCCCAUUCGCAAGGAUGCUGGCGUAAUGGUCAUCAGUGACCCGUCUUGAAACACGGACCAAGGAGACGUCUUCGUAUGCGAGUGUUCGGGUGUCAAACCCCUACGCGAAAUCAAAGUGAACGCAGGUGAGAGCUUCGGCGCAUCAUCGACCGAUCCUGAUGUUAUCGGAUGGAUUUGAGUAAGAGCAUACGGGGCCGGACCCGAAAGAAGGUGAACUAUGCCUGUGUAGGGUGAAGCCAGAGGAAACUCUGGUGGAGGCUCGCAGCGGUUCUGACGUGCAAAUCGAUCGUCAAACAUGGGCAUGGGGGCGAAAGACUAAUCGAUCUUACUCNNNUG